RNAcentral lists this long non-coding RNA (452 nucleotides) under Homo sapiens (human). Its description in RNAcentral is "HSALNT0375101". Lineage: Eukaryota; Metazoa; Chordata; Mammalia; Primates; Hominidae. The record is from RNAcentral.
UUUUUCCGCCAGUCUUGGCGGAAGCCUGAGACGCAAUAGAUGGAGACUCUCCUUUUCGCCUUGGCGUACUCUUUUUUUUUUUUUCCUCCCUGGAGCUGGUCUUGUGGGGCAGCCCUAAAAUGUAUCUCCAAGUGACCCUGCACUCAUCACUUGCUGCCUUGGACUUAGUUUCCUCAUUCGUAGAAUGGAGACACCACACUUUCUGAAGUGCUUAUGAGACUUGCAGGAGCCUCAGGAUGUUCCAUCUGCCCUACUUGAAUGCCUGAAGCCCUUCUUUCUCCAAUGACCCUGAGGAAAAUCUUGAAGGCGUUUCUUAGUCUGUGGAUUUUUUCUCCACAAGGGUAUAAAAUAAGAAGAUGAGGGAAAUAACCUUAACUGAAUACAUGGUGAUAUGGUUUGUCUGUGUCUCCACCCAAAUCUCAUCUGGAAUUGUAGCUCUCAUAAUUGGGAGA